GUGGUUUAAUUCGUAUGAUACGCGAGGAACCUUACCUGGGCUCGAACGUAAGAUGACUGUAGGUGAAAGCUUACAUCUCUUCGGAGCAUUUUACGAGGUGCUGCAUGGUUGUCGUCAGCUCGUGCCGUGAGGUGUCGGGUUAAGUCCCAUAACGAGCGCAACCCCUACCUUUAGUUGCCAUCAGGUUAAGCUGGGGACUCUAAAGGAACUGCCUACGCAAGUAGUGAGGAAGGCGGGGAUGACGUCAAAUCAGCACGGCCCUUACGUCCAGGGCUACACACGUGCUACAAUGGCCGAUACAGAGGGCAGCUACCUGGUGACAGGAUGCAAAUCUCCAAAGUCGGUCUCAGUUCGGAUCGGAGUCUGCAACCCGACUCCGUGAAGUUGGAUUCGCUAGUAAUCGCGCAUCAGCCAUGGCGCGGUGAAUACGUUCCCGGGCCUU
This 442-nucleotide ribosomal RNA is filed under the name uncultured Sphingobacteriales bacterium. RNAcentral describes it as "bacterial SSU rRNA". It matches the Rfam family "Bacterial small subunit ribosomal RNA", at positions 941 to 1382 of the family's 1533-position model. The record is from RNAcentral. Lineage: Bacteria; Pseudomonadati; Bacteroidota; Sphingobacteriia; Sphingobacteriales.